RNAcentral lists this ribosomal RNA (584 nucleotides) under uncultured bacterium. RNAcentral's name for it is "partial 16S ribosomal RNA". It matches the Rfam family "Bacterial small subunit ribosomal RNA", at positions 355 to 935 of the family's 1533-position model. The record is from RNAcentral.
UGGGGAAUUUUGGACAAUGGGCGCAAGCCUGAUCCAGCCAUGCCGCGUGCGGGAAGAAGGCCUUCGGGUUGUAAACCGCUUUUGUCAGGGAAGAAAUCUUCUGAGUUAAUACCUCGGGAGGAUGACGGUACCUGAAGAAUAAGCACCGGCUAACUACGUGCCAGCAGCCGCGGUAGUACGUAGGGUGCAAGCGUUAAUCGGAAUUACUGGGCGUAAAGCGUGCGCAGGCGGUUUUGUAAGACAGAGGUGAAAUCCCCGGGCUCAACCUGGGAACUGCCUUUGUGACUGCAAGGCUUGAGUGCGGCAGAGGGGGAUGGAAUUCCGCGUGUAGCAGUGAAUUUGCGUAGAUAUGCGGAGGAACACCGAUGGCGAAGGCAAUCCCCUGGGCCUGCACUGACGCUCAUGCACGAAAGCGUGGGGAGCAAACAGGAUUAGAUACCCUGGUAGUCCACGCCCUAAAACGAUGUCAACUGGUUGUUGGGAAGGUUCCUUCUCAGUAACGUAGCUAACGCGUGAAGUUGACCGCCUGGGGAGUACGGCCGCAAGGUUGAAACUCAAAUGAAUUGACGGGGUCAUAGCUGUUU